GAUUAACGCUGGCGGCGUGCAUAACACAUGCAAGUCGAACGAUGAAGAUUAGAAGAAUUCUUCGGAAUGAAACUAAUUGGAUUAGUGGCGAACGGGUGAGUAACGCGUGAGUAACCUGCCUUACACAAGGGGAUAGCCGUUGGAAACGACGAAUAAAACCCUAUGACGUAAAUAUACCGCAUGAUAUAUUUACCAUAGUGCUUAGUGGUGUAAGAUGGACUUGCGUCUGAUUAGCUAGUUGGUGAGAUAAAAGCUCACCAAGGCAACGAUCAGUAGCCGGCUUGAGAGAGUGUACGGCCACAUUGGGACUGAGACACGGCCCAAACUCCUACGGGAGGCAGCAGUGGGGAAUUUUGCACAAUGGGGGAAACCCUGAUGCAGCGACGCCGCGUGAUUUAAGAAGGCCUUCGGGUUGAAAGAUCUUUUGUAUAGGAAGAAAAUGACAGUACUAUACGAAUAAGUC
This 463-nucleotide ribosomal RNA is filed under the name uncultured bacterium. RNAcentral's name for it is "SSU rRNA". It matches the Rfam family "Bacterial small subunit ribosomal RNA", at positions 28 to 492 of the family's 1533-position model. The record is from RNAcentral.